AUUGAACGCUGGCGGCAGGCCUAACACAUGCAAGUCGAACGAGUGGCGGACGGGUGAGUAAUGUCUGGGAAACUGCCCGAUGGAGGGGGGUAACUACUGGAAACGGUAGCUAAUACCGCAUACCAUCGGAUGUGCCCAGCUGGGAUUCGCUAGUAGGUGGGGUAAAGGCUCACCUAGGCGACGAUCCCUAGCUGGUCUGAGAGGAUGACCAGCCACACUGGAACUGAGACACGGUCCAGACUCCUACGGGAGGCAGCAGUGGGGAAUAUUGCACAAUGGGCGCAAGCCUGAUGCAGCCAUGCCGCGUGUAUGAAGAAGGCCUUCGGGUUGUAAAGUACUUUCAGCGGGGAGGCGUUAACCGCAGAAGAAGCACCGGCUAACUCCGUGCCAGCAGCCGCGGUAAUAC
RNAcentral lists this ribosomal RNA (406 nucleotides) under uncultured bacterium. RNAcentral's name for it is "partial 16S ribosomal RNA". It matches the Rfam family "Bacterial small subunit ribosomal RNA", at positions 30 to 526 of the family's 1533-position model. The record is from RNAcentral.